UUUAUAUAUAUAUAUAUGUAAUCAGGUAGUUUCUGACAUUUAGAGUAAUCAUUCCAACUGGUAACAGCAAGUCAGAUUUUUUAAAGUCUGGGUAAGUUUGACAAGGGAUCUAGAAAUCUUAUCAAAUUUUCUGCAGUAACUCAGUCCCAUGGAAAAGGUUUCAUAGUCUUGCUCUAUUGAAAUAAAGGCAAGACUGGAUACAAAGUAGAAGGCACAGAUAUUAUAGAACAGUCACAUUUCUUGAAUACAAAGAUCUUAUAAAUUAGAGAAUGAUUAAAAUUGGGAACAGCCAUUUUGCUGGUGCUUUAUUUCUCAGUGCUGACUGUUUCUUGACCAAACAUCUCUAUCUUUUCUAAUGCUGCACCACCAUGUGCUGGAGGAGUCUUUCCUGAACAGCUUUUCUUGUUUCUUCCCAUUUCUGUAGCUUCCACCAAUGUGUUAGUCAAUGGUUUUCCCAGUGUUUCUGGAAGCAUUAUGGUUAAUAUUCCACUCAGAAGAGCCAUGAUUCCAACAAGCAACUGGAAGAAACAAACAGCAGCUGUAAAGGAAAUCAGAUGUUUUCUGCAUGUUACACUGCUGACACAUUGGACUAUCUUCAAACUAUGGAAGUUUACUUUUAUUGUAUCCAGUUUUUUUGUUCUGUCUAUAAUCCUGAAUUAAAACUAACUCAUUGUCAUAA
Molecule: long non-coding RNA, 679 nt
Organism: Pipra filicauda (Wire-tailed manakin)
Lineage: Eukaryota; Metazoa; Chordata; Aves; Passeriformes; Pipridae
Exons: 2
Source: RefSeq, a predicted model, not a curated record